CGCGGGGUGUUAGCAGCUUGGUAGCUUGCAAGGCUCAUAACCUUGAGGUCACGGGUUCAAAUCCCGUCCCCGCAA
RNAcentral lists this transfer RNA (75 nucleotides) under Eomecon chionantha. RNAcentral describes it as "tRNA-fMet". It matches the Rfam family "tRNA". Rfam says of the family: Transfer RNA (tRNA) molecules are approximately 80 nucleotides in length. Their secondary structure includes four short double-helical elements and three loops (D, anti-codon, and T loops). Lineage: Eukaryota; Viridiplantae; Streptophyta; Magnoliopsida; Ranunculales; Papaveraceae. The record is from RNAcentral.